RNAcentral lists this long non-coding RNA (3423 nucleotides) under Hordeum vulgare. RNAcentral describes it as "long non-coding RNA (HVUL_LNC010986)". The record is from RNAcentral. Lineage: Eukaryota; Viridiplantae; Streptophyta; Magnoliopsida; Poales; Poaceae.
UUCCUCCUCGUUUCUGUCCCUCAAUCUGAAGCACGCCCGUGGCUGCAGCCGCCAUGGCCAUCACCGUCCUCGCGACCAACGACCUCCCCAUCGACUGAGACCAUGUCCAGGACCUUCGUCGUCGUCGAAUUCAUCCCCACGCGGAAGGGCUCGAGCUAGGAGGCCCCAUUCGCUCACACCCGUCGACGUUCACGACCCCAUGGCCGCCUCACCGUGAAGCUCGCGCCCUCCGUCGACCCCGUGCCCGGAGUCCAUGUCCUGCAACUCCGUCGGCCUCCUCUACGUCGUCUACGACCACCACCUCGAGCUCUAUGCCUCUACAUCGCCGGGAUCGACGUCGUCUUCCUCAACUACGGCCGCCGCCUUCCCCUGUGAGCGGCACCCCCAUUCCCCUUGUCUCCUCCUCGAUCCGUGGCCAUAGCUGUCGUCCCCGAGCUCGUCCGAACGUACACGUACGAGCACGUACAUGCUCUGUGCUUGCUGCCUUGGCUGCCCGUGCACCUGCUGAUGUUGUCCGAAGUUGUCGCGACCGCCUCAUGCUGAGCCGUCCGCGUACACGCCCCGCCCCGUGCUCGCGCAGCCCCGCGCCCACGGCCGCGCUCGUCGCCCGUGAUUCUGGCGCGUGCACUUGCCGCGCUGAGCUGUUGCGGGCUUCACUGCGUUGCUGCUCCGCUGCUGGCUCCUGCUUGCCGCUGCUGUUGCCAUUGGCCACUGCUGCUCCCGUCUUGCCGCUGCUGUUGCCAUUGGCUACUGCUGCCUGCUGCCGCAUGGUGUUGUCGCUGGAUGUUGCUGGGUAUUGCUGCUUGCUAUGGCUGCUGCGAGCUGCUGUUGUUGCUUGCUAUGGCUGCUGCCAGCUGCUGUUGCUGCUUGUACCGCUGGGCAUCAUGGCAUGUGUGCUGUGCAUGCUAACACAGGAUGCCAAGCCGACGAGCAUGGCCAUAUGCGUGCGUGUGUGUCCGGCUCGCCCGUACUCUUCUAAUUAGGUUAGUUGAUUAUUUAGUUCAAUGCACAAAUGACAAGUGGACCCCAUUUAUUCAAGUUAGUUUAAAAUUAUUUGUUCAGAUAUAGUCAAUGUCACACGGCCCCAUUGACCAUGUUGACCAGGCAACAUUGACUGGUGAACUACUGCUAACUAGACCCCUCACCCCACCGUCAUACCAUUGGCUAGCAUAGCCCCAUGUAAGAAAAAUAUUUCCACAUUUAUUUUUGAAUUAGGAUAAUCUAGAAUAUUGUUAAAACUCUGAAAAUUCAUAUAAAAUAAUUCGCAACUCGAAUGAAAAUAAUUUAUAUAUGAAAGUUGUUCAGAAAAAUCCCAUAAAUCCGAAUACGGUGUCCCUUCAUCUGUCACAUGCUCGGAGCAUGUUGGAUAUGGACAUUUUGCAUUAGGUUUAUCUGCUCGGUAAUAGCCAAAGACUCGAAAAAUAUCGUCAGAUAUUCUUCCGACCCGUCUGCGACACGUGUUGCUGCGUUAGGUCACCCCUAGCACGGUGUAUUACCUUGUCAUGCUUUAUGGUGUGUUUGCUUGCUCUCUUAAUUAAUGUGUUUCCCCUUCGUUAUUUUCCUUUCCGGUAGACCCCGAGACCGAUGUUGAUCCGGUGAUCGACUACUUCAAUGUCGAGGAUCUCUAUGUGUCUGCAGAGCAACAAGGCAAGCAAACCCCCUUGAUCACCCCUAUAUCGCCUAUGUCUUUCUUCCUCCUGCUUGCAUUAGAAUUUUCGUACUGUUGUAGUUAGCUCCUAUAUCUAAUGCAUAACCUAUUUUUGAUGAACUGCUACUUUCAGUACUGCACUUUAAACUAUUUAGUAUAGGUGGAGCAGUCAUCCCCUCUGACCCUGUAGUCCAGUUGCCCCGCUUUGUUUUCAAGUCUCGAUCCCUCAUCGACGAGCCAGAUCCGGCACAACACUUACCCCCCCCCCCUUAGUUGUGCGACGCUACAAAGAUACUAUCGGGUACCGAGGGUGACACCUCGCGAAGUACCCCUGAUGAUAUCUCUGUAGUACAGCUAGUCGGUCGUGGUUAUUGAGGGUGAUUCCUCUUUCACCAUUUCCGACAAUGCCUCUGUCGUGCAACCCCUCAAGUGUGGGACCCUCGACGGUGAUUCCUGUAGGUCCACCUUGACGGAUACAUCGUUUAGAAUCCAACGAGGGUGAUACCUCGGAUUCCCCCCGAUGUUACAACCACACAGUUACUUGAUCAUGUUACUGGGAUCAUUGAUGAAUAGAUGUUAGGCGGGUGGAUUCCCGCGUGUUUGUGUCGAUGACCUAAUUAAAAUGAUAAUGGAUUUGGGUAUUUGAUCUCGGUUGGUCGGAAGGCAUUAUUACGCACUAACCGUCUGGGUGGGAAGAAUUAUGGGUACUCGACGUCGCGGUAUCAGCCGAAGCUCUUUAGACGUCAGCAAUGGAGCGCGCGCGCGCCCGAGUGGUCUUGAGAUGCAUCGCGCUUGUGAUUAAGGGAUGCUAGGACUGACCUCGGCCACCCACGCAUCAUGCAGGAGCGCGGAGGGAAAGUGGGCCCACAAACCCUCUGUGCUUAGGAGUUAGACCGACGGGUUGCCUCUCUGUUGAGCUUAGGUGGGGCUGCGACGUUUCGACAUUCCGAGGCCGGUCAUGACCCAUUAAAGUGUGUCCGUCCAAAGUGUUAUCGAGCGCGUCGGGGAAUAUGUUGUGCACCCCUGCAGGGAAGAACUUAUCUAUUCGAAUAGCCAUGUCCAACGUUACAGGACGACUUGGAGUUGUGCCCUGAUCUUAUACAAUUACAAUUGUUACUUAACUGGAAUUAGUUGCCCUGGGAUCGCUUCCUCGCAGGGAGUCGAGGGAGGAUCUGUGGGCGUGACCUCACUUUAAUAUUGCUGCAAUAAUAUGACUAUUAUUUGUGUUACACCUGAUCUACUCUCGUCUAUUGCUGCAAGACCCUCAAGAUGCUAGUCUUCAUAGGACCAGGCCUUCUCUCUCUAAUCUCGCAUUGCUGCAGUCAGUCCACACAUAACCACCCCCUUCUUCGAUACUGUUGCAUAUUUAGAAUAUUUCUGAUGUAAGACUUGCGAGUACUUUCGAUGAGUACUCACCAUUGCUUGGCUCCCCCUUUGUCCCCUUGAUCCGUUGCUGCAACCAGACGAUGGAGCCCACGAGUGGAGUUUCCUGCCGACGCCUGCCCCCCCUCCCCGCGUUGGUGACUUCUUCGUGGAGGCCGCUGAAGAGCAAGAUUAGUUUAGGAGGUUCCGAGGCAUGAGGCCUCGCCUCGUUCGAUCGUGUUUCUUUUGUGCUUGCCUUCUCUAAGGCACCCCAUGUUUUAUGUGUGUAGUCAGAUAUUGUUGCUUCCGCUGACUCGUGUGUUUAUCGAGCUUCCGUAUUCUAGUCCUCGAGACCCCUUGCUUGUAAUAUGAAGCUUGUAUUAUUUUAUUUGUGUCUAGUGUUGUGUUUAAUA